CCUACGGGUGGCAGCAGUGAGGAAGAUUGGUAAAUGGCCGAGAGGCUGAACCAGCCAAGUCGCGUGAGGGAAGACGGCCCUACGGGUUGUAAACCGCUUUUGUCGGGGAGCAAAGCGAGGCACGUGUGACUCAUUGAGAGUACCCGAAGAAAAAGCAUAGGCUAACUCCGUGCCAGCAGCCGCGGUAAUACGGAGGAUGCGAGCGUUAUCCGGAUUUAUUGGGUUUAAAGGGUGCGCAGGCGGAGGUGCAAGUCAGCGGGCAAAUUGCGGGGCUCACCCCCGUACUGCCGUUGAAACUGCAUCCCUUGAGUGCGCGAGACUUAUGCGGAUUGC
This 333-nucleotide ribosomal RNA is filed under the name uncultured bacterium. Its description in RNAcentral is "partial 16S ribosomal RNA". It matches the Rfam family "Bacterial small subunit ribosomal RNA", at positions 338 to 669 of the family's 1533-position model. The record is from RNAcentral.